This 365-nucleotide long non-coding RNA is filed under the name Equus caballus (horse). RNAcentral's name for it is "lncRNA (ENSECAG00000055913.1)". The record is from RNAcentral. Lineage: Eukaryota; Metazoa; Chordata; Mammalia; Perissodactyla; Equidae.
CUCAUCAGGAAAAUAAGGAUGCCUAUUCUUCCUAAUCUGCCAGAAACAUCUGACUAUUGGAGAGAUGAAAGCAUUCUCAAAAACUUUAAAACACUAAACAAUAUUGAAUUAAGCCAGGAAGUUUUUCCUCCAGAGCAUUCGUUGAGACCACUGAGAGCAAGCAGGCCUAUUUCCUAAGAACAAGCUCACAAAUCCUCUGGAAAACAAGCUCACAACUCCUCAAGACCUCUGAGUCACCCCUCAAGUUAAACAGGAAGACAGCAAAUUGGUUUAAUAUCUACAGUAACCCUCAGGCCUGCUGUGAUGACUGCCUGCUCCUUCUAUGCCUAUCAUAUAAAUCCUGCCUGUGGCUGUGACAAGUUCUG